This 480-nucleotide ribosomal RNA is filed under the name Streptomyces sp. RNAcentral describes it as "bacterial SSU rRNA". It matches the Rfam family "Bacterial small subunit ribosomal RNA", at positions 110 to 604 of the family's 1533-position model. Lineage: Bacteria; Bacillati; Actinomycetota; Actinomycetes; Kitasatosporales; Streptomycetaceae. The record is from RNAcentral.
GUAACACGUGGGCAAUCUGCCCUUCACUCUGGGACAAGCCCUGGAAACGGGGUCUAAUACCGGAUAUGAGCCUCCCAGGCAUCUGGGAGGCUGUAAAGCUCCGGCGGUGAAGGAUGAGCCCGCGGCCUAUCAGCUUGUUGGUGAGGUAAUGGCUCACCAAGGCGACGACGGGUAGCCGGCCUGAGAGGGCGACCGGCCACACUGGGACUGAGACACGGCCCAGACUCCUACGGGAGGCAGCAGUGGGGAAUAUUGCACAAUGGGCGAAAGCCUGAUGCAGCGACGCCGCGUGAGGGAUGACGGCCUUCGGGUUGUAAACCUCUUUCAGCAGGGAAGAAGCGAGAGUGACGGUACCUGCAGAAGAAGCGCCGGCUAACUACGUGCCAGCAGCCGCGGUAAUACGUAGGGCGCAAGCGUUGUCCGGAAUUAUUGGGCGUAAAGAGCUCGUAGGCGGCUUGUCACGUCGAUUGUGAAAGCUCG